Molecule: ribosomal RNA, 418 nt
Filed under: uncultured bacterium
Lineage: Bacteria
Description: bacterial SSU rRNA
Rfam family: Bacterial small subunit ribosomal RNA
Source: RNAcentral
AUAUUGGUCAAUGGACGCAAGUCUGAACCAGCCAUGCCGCGUGCAGGAUGACGGCCCUAUGGGUUGUAAACUGCUUUUGUACGGGAAAAAACCCUUCUACGUGUAGAAGGCUGAUGGUACCGUAAGAAUAAGGAUCGGCUAACUCCGUGCCAGCAGCCGCGGUAAUACGGAGGAUCCAAGCGUUAUCCGGAUUCAUUGGGUUUAAAGGGUGCGUAGGCGGACUAGUAAGUCAGUGGUGAAAUCCUGCAGCUUAACUGCAGAACUGCCAUUGAUACUGCUGGUCUAGAGUACAAUUGAUGUGGGCGGAAUGUGUCGUGUAGCGGUGAAAUGCUUAGAUAUGACACAGAACACCGAUUGCGAAGGCAGCUCACAAAACUGUAACUGACGCUGAGGCACGAAAGUGUGGGGAUCGAACAGG